CGUAGGGUGCGAGCGUUAAUCGGAAUUACUGGGCGUAAAGCGUGCGCAGGCGGUUUUGUAAGACAGAUGUGAAAUCCCCGGGCUCAACCUGGGACCUGCAUUUGUGACUGCAAGGCUAGAGUACGGUAGAGGGGGAUGGAAUUCCGCGUGUAGCAGUGAAAUGCGUAGAUAUGCGGAGGAACACCGAUGGCGAAGGCAAUCCCCUGGACCUGUACUGACGCUCAUGCACGAAAGCGUGGGGAGCAAACAGGAUUAGAUACCCUGGUAGUCCACGCCCUAAACGAUGUCAACUGGUUGUUGGGUCUUUACUGACUCAGUAACGAAGCUAACGCGUGAGUUGACCGCCUGGGAGUACGGCCGCAAGGUUG
RNAcentral lists this ribosomal RNA (368 nucleotides) under uncultured organism. RNAcentral's name for it is "bacterial SSU rRNA". It matches the Rfam family "Bacterial small subunit ribosomal RNA", at positions 526 to 896 of the family's 1533-position model. The record is from RNAcentral.